CACACUAUGGGAGCUGGCCAUGCCGAAGUCGUUACCUUAACCGCAAGGGGGGGAUGCCGAAGGGGCUAGUGACUGGAGUGAAGUCGUAACAAGGUAGCCGUACUGGAAGGUGAGGCUGGAUCACCUCCUUU
This 131-nucleotide ribosomal RNA is filed under the name Landoltia punctata. Its description in RNAcentral is "partial ribosomal RNA". It matches the Rfam family "Bacterial small subunit ribosomal RNA", at positions 1398 to 1533 of the family's 1533-position model. Lineage: Eukaryota; Viridiplantae; Streptophyta; Magnoliopsida; Alismatales; Araceae. The record is from RNAcentral.